This is a non-coding RNA of Pelobates cultripes (western spadefoot toad), 739 nucleotides long. Lineage: Eukaryota; Metazoa; Chordata; Amphibia; Anura; Pelobatidae. The record is from the annotation of a GenBank genome assembly.
UGCCUUAUUUUGGAUCAACAUAUCAACAAUGUAAAUUAUAUACUCAUCAGGGGCUUUCUGUUUAAAAAUCUAAUUCUAAGUCUCACAUCGCUUCCAGAUAAAAUAUCCUUGAAGGCCAAACAGGUACAGUGAGGGUGUGGCAGGAGAUAUCUGGACUUCAUAUAAUUUAUUCCAAUUGUGCUGUCUGUCUAGUAUAAUGGGCAAUGUAUAUUGCUUGUUUACAUUACUUACCCUGGCUUUAUCUGGACUCUGGUCACUGUUUGGCUGUGUCAAUUGCAUCAUACUUUUAAACUAAUCCUCUAUGCAUUUAGUCAAGAAUUCAAAGUUGUUUACAUAUGUUUACUUCUUAUUAUACAAUGCAUGUCUACCCCUGUGAGCCAAGGAGGUUUGUGUGUGGUUGUUUAAAUGUUGGACACCUGUUAGAAUUUUACAAUAACAUGCAUUUUUAAUAAUUAAGUAGACAAUAACAAAAUAAUAUUGAGAAAUUGUAAGUGGAGUGGGCAUUACAGAUAGAGAAUUAAAAAAUAAUCCUGUUUUUUCUAUUUUAGGUUUUAAUUAAGAGGUGUCAAAAGUUUAGUAAUUUCUAUACCAACAAAACUCAAAAAGUCAAAAUCAUUUAACAUGUACUUCCCAUAAUACUUGGCAGUCAGACACAAUUGUUUUACCUCAGUAUUUCAAAUACCUCAAUUUCACUUAGUUUGUGUAAACUGAAAAUAUCAUUACAUAUAGCAAAAUUAUG